This 257-nucleotide long non-coding RNA is filed under the name Anas platyrhynchos platyrhynchos (common mallard). RNAcentral describes it as "lncRNA (ENSAPLG00000026310.1)". The record is from RNAcentral. Lineage: Eukaryota; Metazoa; Chordata; Aves; Anseriformes; Anatidae.
CGGCAGUGACCUGCAACUAUGGGAACGGUGGCUGCCAGCACACCUGCGAUGACACCGACCAGGGCCCCAAAUGUGGCUGCCACGUCAAGUUCCUGCUGCACUCCGACGGCGUGACCUGCAUCGGGGAGAGACACUUCCAGCAACACGUUAUCCUUGAGACGUUUUCUAAUGGUAAAUAUUUUUGUUUUUGUUCCCUACCUCCGCGAGGGGAUCUAACCGCAGGGGUGCUCUCACCUCCAGCCCGUCACUCGGGGGGC